Molecule: ribosomal RNA, 1235 nt
Filed under: human gut metagenome
Description: bacterial LSU rRNA
Rfam family: Bacterial large subunit ribosomal RNA
Source: RNAcentral
GUGGUAACACACACUGGAGGACCGAACCGACUAGUGUUGCAAAAUUAGCGGAUGAGCUGUGGAUAGGGGUGAAAGGCCAAACAAAUCUGGAGAUAGCUGGUUCUCCCCGAAAACUAUUGAGGUAGUGCCUCGUGUGUCGCUCCAGGGGGUAGAGCACUGUUUUGGCUAGGGGGACAUGGAGUCUUACCAAACCAAGGCAAACUCCGAAUACCUGGAAGCGUAAGCACGGGAGACAGAGCACCGGGUGCUAACGUCCGGACUCAAAAGGGAAACAACCCAGACCGCCGGCUAAGGUCCCAAAUAACAGCUAAGUGGAAAACGAAGUGGAAAGGCCGUGACAACCAGGAAGUUGGCUUAGAAGCAGCCAUCCUUCAAAGAAAGCGUAAUAGCUCACUGGUCGAGUCCUUCUGCGCGGAAGAUGUAACGGGGCUAAGCUGUUAACCGAAGCCGCGGAUGCACUGGUUAUCCAGUGCGUGGUAGGGGAGCGUUCUGUAAGUCUGCGAAGGCGGUUCGAGAGGACUGCUGGAGAUAUCAGAAGUGCGAAUGCUGACAUGAGUAACGUUAAAGCGGGUGAAAAGCCUGCUCGCCGUAAGCCCAAGGAUUCCUGCUCUACGUUCAUCGGAGCAGGGUGAGUCGGCUCCUAAGGUCAGGCCGAAAGGCGUAGCCGAUGGGAAUCAGGUUAAUAUUCCUGAACCUGCGUCAGAUGCGAUGGGGGGACGGAGCAUGGAAGAUCAUCCGGGUGUUGGAAGUCCCGGUUGUUGAGCGUAGGAGGUCUGCAGGCAAAUCCGCAGACGCAUCUCCAAGGCAAAGACACGUGCCGCUACGGCGGCGAAGUGAUCGGAAGUGCUUCCAAGAAAAGCCUCUAAGCACCAGUCUGAUGCGGACCGUACCGCAAACCGACACUGGUGGGCGAGCUGAAUAUGCUCAGGCGCUUGAGAGAACUCGGGAGAAGGAACUCGGCAAAUUGACACCGUAACUUCGGAAGAAGGUGUGCCGUAGUACCGUGAGAGGAGAGACACCUUGAGCGGGAAACGGUCUCAGAGAAUAGGUGGUUGCGACUGUUUAUUAAAAACACAGCACUCUGCAAAGUCGAAAGACGACGUAUAGGGUGUGAUGCCUGCCCGGUGCUGGAAGAUUAAUUGAUGGGGUGAGAGCCCUUGAUCGAAGUCCCAGUAAACGGCGGCCGUAACUAUAACGGUCCUAAGGUAGCGAAAUUCCUUGUCGGGUAAGUUCCG